This 73-nucleotide transfer RNA is filed under the name Fibrobacterales bacterium. RNAcentral's name for it is "tRNA-Ala". It matches the Rfam family "tRNA". Rfam says of the family: Transfer RNA (tRNA) molecules are approximately 80 nucleotides in length. Lineage: Bacteria; Pseudomonadati; Fibrobacterota; Fibrobacteria; Fibrobacterales. The record is from RNAcentral.
GGGGAUAUAGCUCAGUUGGUAGAGCGAUGCGUUCGCAAUGCAUAGGUCAGGAGUUCGAAUCUCCUUAUCUCCA